UUGUGUUGGCAGCAGCUUGGAGGCUUGUGGGCUGAGGAGAAGUCUGAUCCAAGCUUUGGAAUUCGGCUAAUUGGAGUUGCUGAACAACUAGAGGAAGGUCUCUAAUUAAGUGCUAGUUAACCUGAAUUGCAAGCUGAGUGUUGCUAUUGGUGUUGCCGAAAGGUAGAGGUGGAUCAUUUGAAGCUGUGGGCAAGUUAAUUUCGCAGCAAACUGAGAGUUAGAGCUGAAAGAGAAUUGAGUUGAGCACACUUGAGGGGAUCUUCGAAUUCAG
Long non-coding RNA from Ananas comosus (pineapple), 271 nucleotides. RefSeq lists it as uncharacterized. The transcript has 3 exons. The record is from RefSeq and is a predicted model, not a curated record. Lineage: Eukaryota; Viridiplantae; Streptophyta; Magnoliopsida; Poales; Bromeliaceae.